UCAUUAUGCUGGUUAGUUGGUUGAAACAUCCUGUUGUAUGUGGCACGCUUUUAUCGGUGGUAAGACACAUUAAGUUUAUAAAAUGGACAUGUAUCCCGGCUUCAUGUAGGUUAUGGUAAGUGGGGUAUAUGAAUUCGUUAUUAUAGUCUGAUUACACAAAAAAUUAAACAAAGGCACCCUAAUACAUAAGACUCAAGCAGUCCAAAUGGUUCUUGGUGAAAACCAAAUGUAACUCAUUUCAUUCACUGUGCAUCUAGAAGUCUCUGUUGCAAACAUGAUUUCAAACUUGAUAGGUCAUCAUGCAUCAAGUACAAGAAAGUGCAGUCAAACUUGAAUUCAUGAUUAUGGUUAGAAACUGAUGUACAUUUAAAAAGUGUUACAGUUUUGUCUGUUGCAAAACCAAUUGAAUCGCAUCAAAAGAUUACUACUUGACUCAUCUCAAUUACUUUUAUCCUCCAUGUAGGGUUAUUUUGGUGCUUUGGUGCUAUUUUGGUCCCUAUUCCCUGCAUUGUAUAGACAAACAAAUAUUACAUAUAUUAUUAAGAUGUGUGCCACUCCUGCUGACUUUGAGGAGACUAGUAACUUGUGACACCUCGUUUGAUCCUGUUUGCAUCUUUGGCUAUAUUCAUGGCGAGAACUGGUUAAUCCAUAUACAAGUUUUUAUUUACACAAGUCAAUCCAGACACUGGUUGGGGUAGAGACAAUUUGGCAUCUGUGAUACUCGGGACAAUGGAUUAAACAAUGGAUGAUCAGCCUGAAAGCCAAAAGAAUCUGCAAGGGUGUUCAGCCAACGUGUCUCACUGGACUUUCUGCAUUGUGUAUUACAUCUCAACUUGCAAAAAGUGAAAGCAGCAUCCACACUGGAAGUCCUUCAAAGACGCUUCAUUAAAAUCAAACCAGAAAAGGGAACCAAGGCUGCAAAGGGAAAAGUGACCUCUAAAACAAGAAAACUGCAAAAGAAGACCAUCAACAGUCAGUCUCAAACUAUCAAAUCUUUUAAAAAGACUUAUGGACUUUGAGUGGUACUUCAUUUAAAAUGUAGCUGACACUUCCCACCAAUUUUUUUAAAAUAUGGUGGGCUGCAGCCUGCAGUGAUGGCAGGUGACUUCUCUGAGUGGGCACGAAUGCAAAGCCAAAACAUUGUCGUGUGUGGCUCCUCAUUUCAAAGUGUGUGUUCGGCGCGUCAUGUAAACCUGUGCAUCGCGUGUCAUUUCAAAAUACGUGCCUGCUCCAGACACUUUGAAGGGGAUUAUGAUAAAAUGCUCGCUUUUGCCAGAUAAUCUCAUGUAUAAACAGAGUUUAGUGUUAAAUGAGUGUCUUGCGAGUAUCAUGUGAAUGUCUCUUUUAUUCUUUAUCAUAUUCAAAGCAUUUGUGGCAGGCAUGUAUUUUGACAUGAUGUGCGAUGCAUAUAAUUCACAUUACACCCCGAACACAUAUUUUGCAUUCAGGCAACCACUGGUGGGGUGGUGUUUUUUAUACUGGUUUGUAUAUUAUAGACCAUGUUUUCAUAUUUAAAAUUGGGCUGGUGUCUGUAAAAGAAUUAGUGAAUUAAGGUUUUAUUGAAUUCUUUUAAAAAUGUGGUGUUUUUACAGUUGUGAAACUUUUGUGUUUUUUGAAAUCUAAAUUUUAAACUACAUUUGUAUUUUAAGUAAAGAUAAGGCAUCUCAAUGUUGUUCUUUGUUAGAUUUUUUUGUCGUUUUUGUAUUUUAGUAUGUUAUUGGUGCCUUUUUGUUGCACCACAGUUUAUGCACUGAAUAUUAAAAUAUAUCUGCUUGUAUUUCUGCCUGUUUUAUGGCAUAACAAACAUAGCAUAAGAGUCAAUCUGGAGUUGAAUAGAAUAAAGAAUAAAAAAUGCAUAACCUGGCCUUUUUUGUUUUAUGUUAUCCACUUUGACAAAUUUUAAAUGCAGGGUAUAAUAGCAUUUAAAUUAAAAAAUAAUGAAGUUGUGACUGUAAAUGAACAGGUAUAUGAUGCUAAAUAACAGUUUUAUGCUGUAGAUAACAAAAACAGUAUCAUGCUAUUAAAUAACAGCUGUAUUCUAUAGAUAACACAAACAGUACCAUGCUGUUAAAAUAACAGUUGACUGCUGUAGGUA
Non-coding RNA from Paramisgurnus dabryanus, 2095 nucleotides. The record is from RefSeq and is a predicted model, not a curated record. NCBI's taxonomy places the organism in Eukaryota, Metazoa, Chordata, Actinopteri, Cypriniformes, Cobitidae.